UCAAGCUAAUAAGAGCGCAAGGGGAAUGCCUUGGCAUCAAGAGCCGAUGAAGGACGUGACAAGCUGCGAUAAGCUGCGGGGAGCUGCACAUAAGCAUUGAUCCGCGGAUUUCCGAAUGGGGAAACCCGUCAGAGCAAUACUCUGACAACGUGCAUUGAACAAAAUAGGUGUACGUGGGGAACCGCCUGAACUGAAACAUCUAAGUAGGGCGAGGAAGAGAAAUCAACAGAGAUUCCGCUAGUAGUGGCGAGCGAACGCGGAAGAGGGCAAACCGGAGGAUUUAUUCUCCGGGGUUGUGGACCGACGCACGAUGCAAUAGGUUAGCUGAACGGCAUGGGAAGGCCGACCAGAGCGGGUGAUAGUCCCGUAAGCGAAAACCGAUUUGUGUUAGUUGGUAUCCAGAGUACCGCAGGACACGUGAAACCCUGUGGGAAACUGGGGGGACCACCCUCCAACCCUAAAUACUACUUGAUGACCGAUAGAGGAGCAGUACCGUGAGGGAAAGGUGAAAAGGACCCCGGGAGGGGAGUGAAAGAGAACCUGAAACCUUGUGCUUACAAGCACUCAAAGCUCGUUAAAGAGUGAUGAGGUACUUUUUGUAGAACGGUCCGGCGAGUUAUUGUAUGUAGCGAGCUUAAGGUAUUCAGUACCGGAGGCGAAGCGAGAGCGAGUCUGAACAGGGCGACAUAAGUUGCAUGCAAUAGACCCGAAACCAGGUGACCUAUCCAUGAGCAGGUUGAAGUGGAGGUAAAACUCCAUGGAGGACCGAACCGACCCCCGUUGCAAUGGUGGCGGAUGACUUGUGGAUAGCGGAGAAAUUCUAAUCGAACUUGGAGAUAGCUGGUUCUCCCCGAAAUAGCUUUAGGGCUAGCGUUGAUUUAGAUUACCGGAGGUAAAGCACUGAAUGGGCUAGGGGCUGAUAAAGUUACUGAACCCUAUCAAACUCAGAAUGCCGGCUAAUUGAUGAUCAGCAGUCAGACUACGUGAGAUAAGUCUCGUGGUCAAAAGGGAAACAGCCCAGACCUACAGCUAAGGUCCCAAAUAUACGCUAAGUGGAAAACGAUGUGGAAUUGCGAAAACAACCAGGAUGUUGGCUUAGAAGCAGCCACACAUUAAAAGAGUGCGUAAUAGCUCACUGGUCGAGUGACUCUGCGCGGAAAAUGUAACGGGGCUAAGCGUAUAACCGAAGCUUAGGAUGCAGCAAUGCGUGGUAGGGGAGCGUCGAAUACGGGGUGAAGUCGCAGCGGAAGCAGCGGUGGACUGUAUUCGAGUGAGAAUGCCGGAAUGAGUAGCGAGAAUUAUGUGGGAAUCAUAAUGGCCGAAAAUCUAAGGUUUCCUGGGGAAGGUUCGUCCGCCCAGGGUAAGCCGGGAGCUAAGGCGAGGCCGAGAGGCGUAGUCGAUGCACAUACGGUUGAAAUUCCGUAGCCACCGAAACUUAAGUUAGAGGGACACUUGGAACUAUCUGAUCCCGGGCGUUGGUUGACCCGGGCGAAAGGGACCGAAAUCAAGUAGGGAAGUCAGAGAACGACGAGGCGAGAAAAGCUCUAAUGUAUGCUAAGGUGCCCGUACCGCAAACCGACACAGGUAGAUGAGGAGAGAAUCCUAAGGCCAACGGGAGAAGGGUUGUUAAGGAACUCGGCAAAAUUACCCCGUAACUUCGGGAUAAGGGGAGCUCCCUAAGGGGAGCCGCAGAGAAUAGGCCCAAGCGACUGUUUACCAAAAACACAGGUCUAUGCUAAAUCGAAAGAUGACGUAUAUGGGCUGACGCCUGCCCGGUGCUGGAAGGUUAAGAGGAGAGCUUAGCGCAAGCGAAGGUUUGAAUUGAAGCCCCAGUAAACGGCGGCCGUAACUAUAACGGUCCUAAGGUAGCGAAAUUCCUUGUCAGGUAAGUUCUGACCCGCACGAAUGGCGUAACGAUUUGGGCGCUGUCUCAACAGCCCACCCGGCGAAAUUGUAGUACUGGUGAAGAUGCCAGUUACCCGCAACUAGACGGAAAGACCCCAUGGAGCUUUACUGUAGCUUAAUACUGGGAUUCGGUAAAUCAUGUACAGGAUAGGUGGGAGACAUGGAAGCAGUGGCGUCAGCCAUUGUGGAGUCGCCCUUGGGAUACCACCCUUGAUUUACUGGUUUUCUAACCUGCGGCCCUGGAUCGGGUCGGGGGACACUGUUAGGUGGGCAGUUUGACUGGGGCGGUC
Molecule: ribosomal RNA, 2195 nt
Filed under: human gut metagenome
Description: bacterial LSU rRNA
Rfam family: Bacterial large subunit ribosomal RNA
Source: RNAcentral